RNAcentral lists this long non-coding RNA (1935 nucleotides) under Bemisia tabaci. Its description in RNAcentral is "lncRNA ENSSSA3NGG010992". The record is from RNAcentral. Lineage: Eukaryota; Metazoa; Arthropoda; Insecta; Hemiptera; Aleyrodidae.
UGAAUUCUUUGCUUAUUAAAGAAUCUACCUCAUAUCAGACAUUGUAGAUUUCCUUUCUGCACUGAACUUUUUUAUAGAUUACUAUUUUAAUAAUUCACAUGUACCAUUUUUUGAUUAUUCAUGAUGGAAAUUCAAAACAAAAAAGUUUACAAUAAUUCUUAUGGGAUAGUAAAACAUUUGAUGUUAUGUUUAAUUAACUGAAUUAAAGACUUGCAUUCUUAUUCCAUUUAUUACAGCCUCUGCCCCUAUUUUUUGCUUUAAUGACAAGGAAGACAACAGAGGCAUAUUAGCUGUCAUGGCCUAUUUGAAAUCAACUUUCAAUCUCUCACCUGGAAGCUUCAUCACUGACAGUGAAAUUCCGCUCGUCAAUUCCUUAAUUAUAACUUUUCCUGAUACCCCUCGGUCUAAUUGUUAUUUUCAUUACACGCAGGGAGUCACCCUUGAAACUUUGAAACUGGGUUUGAGACCGCUCGCAGUGGAAGGAAUGGGGCGAAAAAUUUUUGGUUGCCUCCUAGCUAUUCCUCUUCUCCCGGCCGAUAAAAUUUGGGAGAGAGUAAGGAGCAUGAAAGCUCUUAUUGAGAAAUUUGACAAAGGAGACUUUGAAGAAGAAAAAGAUAAUGAGGAUGCAGAUGAACCAGGGAACAGUGCAGAAGACAACGAAACAGAUGUUGGAAUUGAAGUUUUAGAAGAAAGAGUUAUACAGGUAGCAGAAGCAUUGAUUGCCCAAGAGGAAGCUGCAAGUAGUGAAAAUGGGGCUAGAGGUACAGAAGAGGAAGCAGCAACUAGUAAAGAUGGAGCUAGAGGUACAGAAGAGGAAGCAGCAACUAGUGAAGAUGGAGCUAAAGGUACAGAAGGGGAAGUCAGCAAUGAAGAUGGAGUUAACAAUGAGGGCGAAAAGAGCAAGAGGUCAGGCUUCUUAAAACUGCUGAACUAUAUCUGCAACAUUUGGAUUGAACGUGUCGGAGCAAAUAAUCUGUCGGUUCACGGAGAGUCUCAUAGGACAACAAAUUUCCUAGAGUCUUAUCAUGGGAAAUUCUCGACUCAUCAUCCCAACUUCUGGCGAUUUAUAGAUAUUCUCAAGGACAUAGAUAAAUCUGCAAAAGAUAACUUCGCUGCCUCCGAACUGGGGAAAAAGGUGCGGAAGGAUCCGGAGAGGGCGUAUGUGAUCAACCGUCUUAACCAGAAGCAGCUAGAGACCAAGUUAGCACUUGGUAAAAUCGAUGUCAUGGUUUUCCUCAAUAGAGGAAAGUACCAAGUGAGGACUUUAUCAAACAAGUUGCUGAAUCGUUACAAGAAAAAAGGGACAGUAAGUAGAAAAUGAUAACGAUUUGGUAAGUAAAAUUCAUACUUUGGUGAGUGUGUUGGGAGGAUGGAAUAUAAGCAUUUACAAUAUUCAUUUUUAAAUUUUUUUGGCUUUGGUGUACAAGAGAACAUCCUGAGAGUAAAAAUUUUUUUAAUGGAAAUGAUAAUACGGUUUUUAUUAUUACUCUUUGUUUACCUAGUGUUUUUCUUUUGCUGUGAGACAGACAUAGUAUUAGGCAAAUUAGGAAACUCAAACUCACAAAUUGAAUUCAUUAACUAAUAAAAUAAAAAUAAUUGAUUUUCUGAUUCUCUCUAUUUUAUUUUCUAUUUAUAUGAACCAUUGCAGAUUGGCUUCCCUGAAGUAGAGCCCAUGGAACCACAAAAAAAUGAAGGAAUAUAUAGGCCUCAUCCACAAGGAACUGAUAGCGCAGGUAUGAUAUUAUGUAGUAGCUAUUACUAAAAUCUCUGUUUCUGUAGAUUCUGUAAGAUUGGAACUAUCCUGUAGUCACACCUAGGCACUCUAAAAAUUUGCAUGUAAAAGCGAUGAUUUUUUUUGAUUCUACCCAAUUUUCACGGUUGUACAUACAAGGUAUUCGCUGUCACAAGAGUGCCUGUAGGUUUCAUAUGGUUUUG